CCCCCAAAUGAUGAUUAUGGAUUGAAUAUCUCACGACGGUCGUCUGAGAUGCUCAGUGUCAUCGUUGAUGUAAUCACAAUCCUUUGUUUCUGAUGGAU
Small nucleolar RNA from Salvia splendens (bonfire salvia), 98 nucleotides. RefSeq annotates it as small nucleolar RNA Z161/Z228. The transcript has a single exon. Lineage: Eukaryota; Viridiplantae; Streptophyta; Magnoliopsida; Lamiales; Lamiaceae. The record is from RefSeq and is a predicted model, not a curated record.